Molecule: long non-coding RNA, 2440 nt
Filed under: Gopherus agassizii (Agassiz's desert tortoise)
Lineage: Eukaryota; Metazoa; Chordata; Testudines; Testudinidae
Description: lncRNA (ENSGAGG00000014064.1)
Source: RNAcentral
GCACUUGGCAACCUCACCUGUGACUUAACGGUUUUGUCCAUUUGCAGAGGAAAAGGUGGUGCCUCCCAGAUGCAAACUGGCCAUGCUGACCCCAGAGAAGCCAACGCAGGAGAGGCCAUCCCGAGCUGUGCUGGAAAACCCCGGCUUCUCCCCAAUUGGACUUAUUUUGAUCUCUUCUACAUUUACAUUUAUUCCAAUCUACUCACUGGUGCUGCUGUGUUGGGCAUUCCGGGCCGCAGACAGAACUCUCCACCUCUACUGGAUCCCCAAGAACCAUUCAGUAGAAAAGGCAAUUGAAGAACAUGAGAAGUGCCAGUCAAUUUCUGUGGACAAGCCUCCUCACUUUGGAACUUGUCAUGGCAUGCCCGGUGUACCAGAUGCCGUGAUAAAUCCACUGGAUUUGAAAUUUACCUGCGUAGAGUCUGAGAGCCAGCAGCCCUACGCCAGGGACAUGGAAGAGGGAAUGCAGCUCAGCUUGACAAAGCAAAAAUACUUCACAGGUGAAAGAGAAAGCAAAUCUCUCCGGACUGCCUCUCUGAGAGCAGGCACAAGCACAGGGAAAACAACAAGAGAUCUCCUGGUAAACACCUUGGAUGACUUGAGAGAGAGCGAGUUGAAGAACUUCAAGCACAAACUGACUGACAUUGAUCUGAAGGAGGGAUACAAUCACAUCCCUGAAGGGAAACUGGAGAAUGCAAAGUCUCUAGAGAUCACUGACCUCUUGACUGGACACUACACAAUGGAUAAUGCACUGGAGGUGACCACGAUAGUGCUGGAAGCCAUCAACCGGAAAGNCGACCACAUCCCUAAAGGGAAACUGGAGAAUGCAAAGUCUCUAGAGACCACUGACCUCUUGAUCGGACACUACACAAUGGAUUAUGCACUGGAGGUGACCACGAUAGUGCUGGAAGCCAUCAACCGGAAAGACCUGGCAAGGAGAUUAAGAGGUGUAACAAGGACUGGGGACGUGAAACAUCCUGCAUCAGGGUCUGAUCCUCCCACUGGUUAGUUCAUCCUUCAGGGUGUGGGGAGUUGUCCUGUUUGCAGCACAGAAAGUAGAAGGAAAAGACUCAUUACUGAGACAGUGGCAGACCUAGAAAGGGAACCUAAGAGUCUCUGUCCUCUCUGGGACUAAUCCUUAGAACUCCCCCCUUCCUCCCUCAGCUCCCACCUGCUCAGAUGUAGAAAUGAAAUCCCAAACUCCCCAGACUCCCCAGCCCUAGACAGCAGAAUCUCCCUGACCAUGUGUGGAUUCUAUCCAAAACAGAUAUGAGGGGAGCGCAGAGGCACUGACGUUUGAUCUACAGAAGGGUGAGGGUGGAGAAGGGAGGGUAUCCAGGCCUGGGUGAGGGCAUGGCUGGACUGUAUAGUUUGUUUCUCUUGUUAUAGGCACAAGCACAGGGAAAACAACAAGAGAUCUCCUGGUAAACACCUUGGAUGACUUGAGAGAGAGCGAGUUGAAGAACUUCAAACGCAAAUUGACUGACAUUGAUCUGAAGGAGGGAUAUGACCACAUCCCUAAAGGGAAACUGGAGAAUGCAAAGUCUCUAGAGAUCACUGACCUCUUGAUCGGAUACUACACAAUGGAUUAUGCACUGGAGGUGACCAUGAUAGUGCUGGAAGCCAUCAACCGGAAAGACCUGGCAAGGAGAUUAAGAAGCGUAACAAGGACUGGUCAGGAAUCAGCCUGGCUGUGCCUCGGUGUACCUCAAGGUGUUAUCCACAAAUACCCAUAUUCACCACCGUUAUAUAAUUACGAUAAGUUUUGUAUAAUGCAUGCCUUGCAAGAUAUUUUAAAAGUCUUGCUCUCUUGAACAUUAAUAUCCUGUUGGAUUGUAUAUGUUCUCAUGUUAUGUGAAGUUUUGCUAUGUGUCUGUUACUGAAAUAUAUUGUGAGGUUGGGAACACCCCAACCAGCCUUUCAGGUAUAACAGUGGAGAAGCCAGACAGUGGUUAAUGACUCAUCCACACCUAUCAAAGAAAUUGCGCCCACGUACUGGCCGGUGGACGAGCAUCCGCCGAAAUGCCGAUUAUCGGUGGUAUUUCAGUGGCAACGCCUCUUGAUGUUGCUGCUUGUCGGUGUAAUUUUGGCGAAUCAUCCGCCAUCAUGGUCCUCCAUGCUCGUCGUCUGUCACCUGCCAGACGAAAAAGGUUGGGGACCACUGGUCUAGAGGACAAAGAUGUUGAACUGGGGAAGGGUGGUCUGAGGCUGGAAAGAGUCCCAGUCUGUGUAUUGAGGAUCUGUGACCUGUUUGUACCAUCCUUCAGGGUAAGACACUGCUUGAUUCAAAUCCUAUUUAGUUUGUAGAACUCAGAGUGCGAAUAUAUUUUUAUUUUUAUUUCUUAAGUAACCAGCUUUGAUCUCGACAUUUGCUACUUAUAAUCACUUAAAAUCUACCCUUUUGUAAUCAAUAAACCUGUUUUAUUUUUUACCUAAAACA